UCAGAGGGAUCAACUAGCCAUCAUAUAACUUCCACCAUUGAGAGCAAUCACUAUAGGUCAUUCUUAGGAUUGCUUGAUCCAGACCCCAUUGAAAUUAGCGAUGAUGACAACGAUGAGGUGCAGACAGCUAUUCAAAAUAGCAUGGGCUUAGCAAACGAUUCAAGCGCGCAACAAAUGGUUAGUACUGUUUUGAAUGACCACAUAGAUAAAGUGAUGGUUGGAAAAUCCUGUGACGUAGCCAUAUCUAAAAACAUUAUUAACGUUCGCCGCAAGCAUGUAUUUGAAGACGGUAUUGCCAAGCUAGGAA
This is a long non-coding RNA of Xenia sp. Carnegie-2017, 307 nucleotides long. RefSeq lists it as uncharacterized. The record is from RefSeq and is a predicted model, not a curated record. NCBI's taxonomy places the organism in Eukaryota, Metazoa, Cnidaria, Anthozoa, Malacalcyonacea, Xeniidae. The transcript has 3 exons.